Setaria italica (foxtail millet) is the source of this 2306-nucleotide long non-coding RNA. RefSeq lists it as uncharacterized. The record is from RefSeq and is a predicted model, not a curated record. The transcript has 4 exons. Lineage: Eukaryota; Viridiplantae; Streptophyta; Magnoliopsida; Poales; Poaceae.
GCUUGUUGUUCACCAGGGUAGCUUCCACCAUAUUUUCUGAUGCUAGAAGAAUUCUCGUGAAGAAUACUCAGGUGGUCCUUUCCUCUACAGUCUCUUUGGCCUAGUCUGGAGGCCAUGAUGCUAGAAGAAUCUUCGUGAGGAAGGUGCAUCGUGUGCUCCUAGCUUUGUCCAGGACACUGCUGAGAAAGGACUGUCGGCCUAGUCUGGAGGCCAUGAUGCAUGUGCACUCAAAUCAAUGUAUAUGCCUUGAAUUUGCUCAACUGUCCACUCGCAGCUUGUUGGCGAGUUAUUUUGCUCACCAUACAGUUGCACAGUGUGGCGGAGAUCAGAUGAUGGAAAAUACUGUUGGAAAAGGUAUGGUUAUAAUGUCUAAGUCUAAUUGGAGAGUCCCACAUGUUUAGUUUGGAAGCACGGUGGGAUGGGUUGAUUUAGACUGGGAUGGUGCCAGCUCUCUGUUUUGCGUGAUCCUGUUUAUCGAGAGGUAGAGAGAGAUGGAACGGCGUGGCUCACAUGUCAGCAAGAGAGAUGGGUUUGCACAUGAUUCUGUUUGGAAAUUAUGAACAGUAAACCCAUCCAAGAAUGCGUAGAACCUUUCCCAUAUACGCUAUUUAAGUUUAAAUUCUCACAUUUUGGUCAAACUGUUCAGUUUAAUUAGUGAAUGGUAUUUUAAGACCACAACAAAUUAUGCAUACAAGAAUCCUCAAACAGGCCAAAUGCACGCAAGGUCAAGGCAAGGGCGACAGCCAAAUUUGGGAACAAAACUUUUUACACACAGUUGCUGCCUACAGCCAACAUUUCAUCAUGAGCCUUUGUACAAGGCAUUGCAGAUGGAAAACGUGAAAGAAGAGCAAUAAUGGUAACAUAUAUGAUUUUGAUUACUACAAGGCAUUGCAGGUUAUAGAACUUCAAGAAGUAGUUUGCUAACUGGACUCUAUGUUCUCAGUACUUGUUUUUCUUUUUCAGUCUUAUGUGUUGCACUCAUAGUUAAAUUCUACAGCUUACAUAUUGCAGCAAUGGUGCUUGCUAGAAAGGAAGAUUAAGGCUCUCGUGGCAAUGCCAGCCCCUGACUUCACUUUGUGCUUAUUCUUAAUCCCACAACAUGUGGUAUGAAAAAUUGCAUCCUGUCCUUUUAUUGAAUAUUAUCAGAUAUGCUAUGUAGGCCUGGGAUAUGCAAUAUUAUCUCGAUUGAUCUGUUCCUCCUCCGCGUUUCCUGACUGGGCGCAGACUGCCGGGCUGGGGUUUAUCAGAUUGGGGGAAUUUGAUUGCCCUGCAGGGUUUGUGAUAUUGAGUUGAGAGGGUUCCGAUCAAAUGGUUUCUAGAUGAAGAGUUUGGAGCAGUGCCCAUCCUCCUUUCUGUCAGAACUUUGAAACUUCUCUCCCUGUUCUUGAUACACAAUGUUACCUCGGGCCUCUGAUUUCCUCUUUUGCUUCAUCUUGUGCAGAGUGCCCACCUGAUUAGAACUGUCCAAAGCUUGCUAAUUCUGGGAUGGCCUUGUUCUCUUAUUGAAUUGUAUCGAUUACUGAAUUAGGUCGUUAGAAGUGUAUCAGAUUAAAAAAUUCUACCUUUAGAUUAUAGCUUAGAUAGGAAAUUCAAGUGCAGAUGUUCAGGACUCCACCUUCAAGUAUUAUUGUCAGAAUUCAGCCUUCUUAGAUGAUCAGUGCAACUGUUGUAUAGGAGGCUGCAUGACAAGCUUGGAGAGGGGUUGACUUUAAGAGCAAUAGGAGAUUUUAGAUUGACAAGAAGAGUUUGAUAAGUCAGCAGCUGGAAAAGCAACAAAACCCCAAAUGAAAGCUAUGAAGGAAUCCAAGACAUCAAACCAAGGAGAAUCAGUUCUUAAGUGGCAGAUGGGAUCAUAACUCUCAUAUGUGUUUAUUUGCAUCCCUCAGCUUGUAAGUUUAUGCAAUCAUGCUCAAAUGCUUCCAUUUCCAUGACGUGAUAAGGUGGUCCCUGAAUUGUUACAUAAAUAUAGAUCAGUCUUGGGCAAAAAUUACGCUGCUUGAUGGACUGUCUUAAGCAUGUGCCUUGCUCACAUUUUCUCUGCUGAAUUGGGUGUGUAAACGAAUCCUGUGAAAAUUCAAAAUGUGAGUUAAACUGGAUCAUGAUUUAUUGUCCGGGCUGUAGAGGAUAAGUGCAUAACAUGUACUAUUGUGUUUGCACUUCUUUGCAAUUAUAAUUGCAUUCAUUACCACAAACAAAGGUCGGCUUGAAGUUUAGUUCCCCUAUUCUUCUUCGCACACUUUCUUUCUUGUUGUAAUAGAUUGCAAUAUUUCAAGUCAAAAUAAGUUCUUGCUUUGCUCAUACUCAAA